UGGGCUUGACAUGUCCGGAAUCCUACAGAGAUGCGGGAGUGCCCUUCGGGGAAUCGGAACAC
This 62-nucleotide ribosomal RNA is filed under the name uncultured organism. Its description in RNAcentral is "partial 16S ribosomal RNA". The record is from RNAcentral.